UACGUAUGGGGCAAGCGUUGUUCGGAUUCACUGGGCGUAAAGGGCUUGUAGGUGGCAAGAUAAGUCGGAUGUGAAAUCUCCGGGCUUAACCCGGAAACUGCGUUCGAAACUGUCUAGCUAGAGUACCGGAGAGGGAAACGGAAUUCCUGGUGUAGGGGUGAAAUCUGUAGAUAUCAGGAAGAACACCGGUGGCGAAGGCGGUUUCCUGGCCGGAUACUGACACUGAGGAGCGAAAGCUAGGGGAGCAAACAGGAUUAGAUACCCGCGUA
Molecule: ribosomal RNA, 269 nt
Filed under: uncultured prokaryote
Description: partial 16S ribosomal RNA
Rfam family: Bacterial small subunit ribosomal RNA
Source: RNAcentral